UUACUGGGCGUAAGGGAGCGUAGGUGGCUCGAUAAGUCAGAUGUGAAAUCCCCGGGCUCAACCUGGGAACUGCAUCUGAUACUGUUGAGCUAGAGUAUGUGAGAGGAAGGUAGAAUUCCAGGUGUAGCGGUGAAAUGCGUAGAGAUCUGGAGGAAUACCGAUGGCGAAGGCAGCCUUCUGGCAUAAUACUGACACUGAGGCUCGAAAGCGUGGGUAGCAAACAGGAUUAGAUACCCUGGUAGUCCACGCCGUAAACGAUGUCUACUAGUCGUUGGGUCCCUUGAGGACUUAGUGACGCAGCUAACGCAAUAAGUAGACCGCCUGGGGAGUACGGCCGCAAGGUUAAAACUCAAAUGAAUUGACGGGGGCCCGCACAAGCGGUGGAGCAUGUGGUUUAAUUCGAUGCAACGCGAAGAACCUUACCUGGUCUUGACAUAUCUAGAAUCCUGCAGAGAUGCGGGAGUGCCUUCGGGAAUUAGAAUACAGGUGCUGCAUGGCUGUCGUCAGCUCGUGUCGUGAGAUGUUGGGUUAAGUCCCGCAACGAGCGCAACCCUUGUCCUUAGUUACCAGCGGGUUAAGCCGGGAACUCUAAGAUACUGCCAGUGACAACUGGAGGAAGGCGGGGACGACGUCAAGUCAUCAUGGGCCCUUAGACAAGGUACACACGUGCUACAAUGGUAGGUCGAGGGAGCUACACAGCGAUGU
This 705-nucleotide ribosomal RNA is filed under the name Psychrobacter sp. RG001. Its description in RNAcentral is "bacterial SSU rRNA". It matches the Rfam family "Bacterial small subunit ribosomal RNA", at positions 551 to 1263 of the family's 1533-position model. The record is from RNAcentral. Lineage: Bacteria; Pseudomonadati; Pseudomonadota; Gammaproteobacteria; Moraxellales; Moraxellaceae.